Molecule: long non-coding RNA, 325 nt
Organism: Cervus elaphus (red deer)
Lineage: Eukaryota; Metazoa; Chordata; Mammalia; Artiodactyla; Cervidae
Exons: 3
Source: RefSeq, a predicted model, not a curated record
CCGUCACUGGCCCCGUAACAGUUUCUGCGGGUGAAAAAGGAGGGCUGGCUGGUGUCAUACUUGGCGGUCUUCAGUUCGCUCCAAGGUCCAGCUUAGGCCCUUGAAUCUCCUGCUUAAGAAAUGCGUGAGAAACGGAAUCCUUUAUGUUGACGCCUAUACAGAUACACAGACGAAGGUUUGAAAUGACCAGCUUUUGGAAGUGACCCCAUAGCUGUUUUUCUUGUGUGCUCAUGGACCCAAAACCCAGAUGAUUUCAAACAUAACCUUCCCGACCUUAGGCUAUUUUCUUGGCCAAUCACUACGCUCAACUCUGAAGAAGUCUUUC